Molecule: ribosomal RNA, 253 nt
Filed under: uncultured bacterium
Lineage: Bacteria
Description: partial 16S ribosomal RNA
Rfam family: Bacterial small subunit ribosomal RNA
Source: RNAcentral
UACAGAGGGGGCAAGCGUUGUUCGGAAUUACUGGGCGUAAAGGGCGCGUAGGUGGCCUUCUAAGUCGAACGUGAAAUCCCCGGGCUCAACCCGGGAACUGCGUCCGAUACUGGAAGGCUUGAAUCCGGGAGAGGGAUGCAGAAUUCCAGGUGUAGCGGUGAAAUGCGUAGAUAUCUGGAGGAAUACCGGUGGCGAAGGCGGCAUCCUGGACCGGCAUUGACGCUGAGGAGCGAAAGCCAGGGGAGCAAACGGG